AAUUAUUAUUAUGAUGCUAUAUAGUUAUUCACGAAAUAAAUUGAGCUAAAUAUUUUUAAUAAUAUUAGAUUAUAAUUUUUAUGUUGCAAAAUAUUUUAACUAUUUAUAUUUAGUGGUGAAAGGCCAUUCAAGUUUUAUGAUAUCUUGAUGUAUAUAAAAUAUAUUAAGUAUUUCUAAAGCAUCUAUUGAAUGAUUAGGUUCAAUAGAUUCAUUAUUUUUUUUACAAAAUUAUUAAUUUUUUUAAGUUAAAUUAAUUUUAUUUAUAAAAUAUAAAUCAAUUUUAUUCAUAUGAAUUUUAAUAUACUAUGAUUAUUAAUCAAAAAUCAUCAUUUAUAAUGUAAUUAUUAGUAAUAGCAUUAAUCCUUAUAGAGGAAUUCGGCAAAAAUUAAUUUUUCGACUGUUUAUCAAAAACAUAGCUUGUUGAAUUUUAUAAUAAGUUAACCCUGCUCAAUGAAAAUGUAAAUAGCCGCAGUACCUUGACUGUGCAAAGGUAGCAUAAUCAAUUGGCUUAUAAUUGAAGUCUGGAAUGAAUGGGUAUCACGGAAAAUAGCUGUCUUUAUUUUAACUUUCGAAGUUACUUAAAAAGUGAAAAUACUUUUACAAAAAUAUAAGACGAGAAGACCCUAGAAAUUUGUAUAUAAAUUUUGUUGGGGCGACAGGGUAACAUAAGUAACUUACCUAUAUUUAAAUAUAAACCUUAUUAGGUAUGUAAUUAAAUUACUCUAGGGAUAACAGCAUAAUAUAUAAAAGUUUAUGACCUCGAUGUUGGACUAGGUAAUUAAAUAUUUAAAAGAUAUUUAAUUAUGCUCUGUUCGAGCAGUACUACCUACAU
RNAcentral lists this ribosomal RNA (832 nucleotides) under Perforatella incarnata. RNAcentral describes it as "Monachoides incarnatus partial large subunit ribosomal RNA". Lineage: Eukaryota; Metazoa; Mollusca; Gastropoda; Stylommatophora; Hygromiidae. The record is from RNAcentral.